UUUUGAUAGAGGCUAAUUCAUUUUAAAGAUUUCUGUGGGAGACCAAGUGACAUUUUAAAACCCAGGAAAUAGGCCAGGGACGAUGGCUUACGCCUGUAAUCUCAGUGCUUUGAGAGGCAGAGGUGGGAGGGGAUUGCUUGAGCCUGGCAGGUGCAGGCUUCAGUGAGCAGUGUUCAUGCCACUGCACUCCAGCCUGAGUGACAGAGUGAGACCGCGUCUCAAGAACAACAACAACAACAACAACAACGACUCGGCAAAUCUGAGUAAAAGAGAAAAGCAGUACUUUUCUAAACUACCUCCCAAAUUAGGUAGUGAGAUACAUAUACAAGUGCAUGCCAAAUGGUAAAG
Molecule: long non-coding RNA, 348 nt
Filed under: Pan troglodytes (chimpanzee)
Lineage: Eukaryota; Metazoa; Chordata; Mammalia; Primates; Hominidae
Description: long non-coding RNA NONPTRT012725
Source: RNAcentral